This 72-nucleotide small RNA is filed under the name uncultured Clostridium sp. RNAcentral describes it as "RAGATH-18 RNA". It matches the Rfam family "RAGATH-18 RNA". From Rfam's summary of the family: Actinobacteria, Firmicutes, Fusobacteria, Thermotogae (1 example). Nearby to self-cleaving ribozyme genes The record is from RNAcentral. Lineage: Bacteria; Bacillati; Bacillota; Clostridia; Eubacteriales; Clostridiaceae.
CCUUUGGAGUAUUAUAUCAAAUGUGAGUAGUUUUAGGUUACUAUUACAAAAACAGAUACGUUGAAGAAGGAA